Peromyscus maniculatus bairdii (prairie deer mouse) is the source of this 3374-nucleotide non-coding RNA. Lineage: Eukaryota; Metazoa; Chordata; Mammalia; Rodentia; Cricetidae. The record is from RefSeq and is a predicted model, not a curated record.
GCCGCCGCGCAGGCAGGUCCUAAUGCCUGUCACUUCCCAGGACAUUGGCAGCGGCAGCCCGGAGCCCCCGAGCCCUGGGCAGGUUUGCCUGUCCUUCCCGGCGAUCUGAUUGGAUAAAGUGGGGGUUCGACGGUGGCCGACGUGGGACAGUCUGGCUGUGGCAGGGGUCUCGGAAACCAUGGGUUAUUGCAGUGGCAGGUGCACGCUUAUCUUUAUCUGUGGCAUGCAACUGGUUUGUGUGCUGGAGAGGCAAAUAUUUGAUUUCCUUGGAUAUCAGUGGGCACCUAUCCUGGCAAAUUUUGUACAUAUUAUCAUCGUCAUCCUUGGUUUGUUUGGAACAAUUCAAUAUAGACCUCGUUACAUAACAGGAUAUGCUGUCUGGCUAGUCCUCUGGGUGACGUGGAACGUGUUUGUUAUCUGCUUCUAUUUGGAGGCGGGGGAUCUCUCAAAGGAAACAGACCUUAUCCUGACAUUUAAUAUUUCAAUGCACCGAUCUUGGUGGAUGGAGAAUGGACCAGGAUGUAUGGUGACAUCUGUGACGCCAGCUCCAGACUGGGCCCCAGAAGACCAUCGAUACAUCACUGUCUCAGGGUGUUUUCUGGAGUACCAAUACAUAGAAGUGGCUCAUAGUUCCCUCCAGAUCAUCCUCGCACUGGCGGGCUUCAUCUACGCCUGUUACGUUGUGAAAUGUAUAACGGAAGAAGAGGACAGCUUUGACUUCAUAGGUGGCUUUGACUCUUAUGGAUAUCAAGGACCUCAGAAGACAUCUCAUUUACAACUACAACCAAUGUAUAUGCAAAUUCCCUUGGAUAACAACUGAUAGCAAAUUCUAUAUCUCAGCAUCAAGUGAUAUGCUGAAUUGCAAGAGAAGAUCAAAAUAGAAAGUCAAAAUAACACAGAUGACUUCUGUCUGCAGCCCACGGACUUCUCAAAUGACUUGUACAGUGGCCUCCUGCCUUUUAUGAAGAGCAAGAAGCAAGUGAAUUUAAAUACACAUACAUGUUACCAGACCAAACAGGAAGUUUCUACAUAGACACGUGUGAAAACGCAAACAUACACGCACACAACACACACACACACACACACCGCUCUCACUAUCAUGCACACAUCAACUCCACUGGACAUUUUUUUUUUCCGGACUGUAACUGAUAAACAUGCAGGACACGCCCAUCGUGGAUUUCCUUAAAGCAGGCUCCUUUCUCCCAGGCCUUUGAAGGUGGGAAAGGAGACACGUUGGCGCCCUCAGCAGGCUGUUACUUACUCCUCCACAGCCCAGCCUGUUGGCUCUGUGAGGUGCCAAGUUAACCCAGGCACACCUGUUUGGAACCCUUUUUCUGCACCCCAUACCAUACAUCUUGAUAGCACCACAGCUACUUAGGGAGCAUAAAUUGCAAAAAAAAAAAACAGACAGAACAUGCUGUGAUGACCUUGUACCAAAUGCGAAAUGGCAGGUUGUUUGCCCUAAAGGCUAUAUCGUACUCACUUGCCUUAACCCACCUAAGUUGUGUGCCCGAGACUCUCAGUGCAGAUGUCCCCCAGUCACUUCCUUUAGGCUAACACACUGCUAUUAAUUCCGAACAAUUUGACUCUGUCUCACGCCAAGGAACAAGACAGAAACUCUCAGCAGCAGCAAUGCAUCUGUGUAAAGAAAAUGAUGCUGUACCACUGAGCCUCUCCGGUGGCCACGAAGAGACAAGUACCAAUGACAACAAACAACUGUCAUCUUCCUGUCUCUCAAACAUGGUCUUCUGAUGUAGUCGGGGGCGAAACAAAGCAAAAUGUAUUAAUCUACUAAACUCAUUAAUCUACUGAAAGCAGAGAUGGCUUGACCGCUUGGUUGUAUUGCACUCUAGGUGCUUCUCUAAGUAUCUACAAAUGGCUUUUCCUAACACAGGGAACAGCUGUGGAUUUCUAUGACAGAGGCCAACUGACUAUGUAUUAGCUAUGUUUACUCUUUUAUAUCUAACUCAAAUCCAAGACCCAAUGUAGGUGAACUUUCUUUUCUAACUUCGGCGUACGAGAUUAUUUUUGGGGUGGGUGGGGGGAGCAAUAGUUAACUUAGUGAAAUCUUUGAGAUCUCUUUGUGGUAUUGGGGGGAUCUGUUGUGUGUUAGAGUGUAUUUCAAUCCUCCUGUAUUAUUGUGGCAGAAAAAAAAAAAAAAAAAAACCUGUGCUGUUGACGUAGUUGGCAAUGAGAUGCCUUUGGAGACAAUAGUAGGUCAAUGUGUUUAUGGGAUAUUCUGAACUCCUAGGAAAUUUAGUUCUGUAUUUUCAAGCACUGUUUGGUUUUCAUUAGUGGAAAACAUAACUAGCUCAAGCUUAUCAGUAACACAAAUGAAGUCAUGUUUUUCUUGGAUCCACUUGGACACUAAAAUCAAGUUUUCUUUAACACAUCAUCUUGACGUGCAGUGCAGCUCAGACUGAGAAGUUAGACACUGGCAUGGAGCAAGUUUGGUGUUUUUGUUGUUUUUUUUUUUUUUUUUUUGGUACUUACAGUUUUAUUUACUGGGUUAACCCUUUUUGCGUCUUAACCCAUUCAGUUCUCCGUUAGACAAGCCAGUGACUGUCUUCGCAUCGACAUUUGUGAAACAUGCCCACAUACCCAUUUAAAACCGAUGAAGGAACUGAAAAAUGACCAUUGGAACACAAACCACAUGCACGAAAAGAUUUCAGCACUCACACUUGAGUUUUCCCGGUGGCUUGUCUCUGUUGGCCCCUAGCUACAUGCGUAAAGUGAACAGUUGCACACAUGUCCGUGAGACCUCAUAUGGUGUUUUUACAGUGAUAUGCAUGUUUCAUGUUUGAGGAAAACUAUUCACAAAUGUGCUGUCCCUUUAUUCCUAAAAUAUAAAUACUAUACAUGCCAGAAGCUAUUCUAAUGUGACUAUUCAAAUGAGGUCUCACCGCCCUGCUACUGUGAUGGGAUUCCACCUUGUAGUACAUGUGUAGGGAGGGAAUAACAUAAGCCGUCACGUUUCUUUCUAAGUUGCAGCCAACUGUCCACCAAGUCACUAUAUCACAUCGCCACCAAAUUUUUUCAGAAACAGUUGUUGACUACUAGAGAGUAGUCCAAGGCCGGGCCUUUUUAGGAGCAGUGAGCACAGUCGUGUGGUUGAUUCUAUCUGGGGAAACAUCAAAGUUGUACAGCUGUAUCCUCCUCAAAAUCUGGUGAAGAAUGCUAUUUUUCUAGGCUGAGCUUUUGUUAUAAACCUAAUAUUCUGAAAGCAAGAGUUAACAACCCUGAUCUGUCUUUUUUUUUCCUCUCUCUCUCUCUCUCUCCUGCAUUUGUUAAUUCUGAAUGUAUUUUUAACAGAGUGAUUUUUUUGACUUACUAGUGUAAUUUGCAUUUUAAAAAAUAAAUGGAAAAACAACGAA